This 256-nucleotide ribosomal RNA is filed under the name uncultured bacterium. RNAcentral describes it as "partial 16S ribosomal RNA". It matches the Rfam family "Bacterial small subunit ribosomal RNA", at positions 524 to 776 of the family's 1533-position model. The record is from RNAcentral.
CACGUAGGGGCCAAGCGUUGUCCGGAUUUAUUGGGCGUAAAGAGCUCGUAGGCGGUUGGGUAAGUCGGGUGUGAAAACUCUGGGCUCAACUCAGAGACGCCACCCGAUACUGCUCUGACUUGAGUCCGGUAGGGGAGUGGGGAAUUCCUGGUGUAGCGGUGAAAUGCGCAGAUAUCAGGAGGAACACCGGUGGCGAAGGCGGGUCUCUGGGCAGUAACUGACGCUGGAGGAGCGAAAGCCGUGGGGAGCGAACAGG